Molecule: ribosomal RNA, 421 nt
Filed under: uncultured bacterium
Lineage: Bacteria
Description: bacterial SSU rRNA
Rfam family: Bacterial small subunit ribosomal RNA
Source: RNAcentral
UAAGGAAUAUUGGUCAAUGGACGCAAGUCUGAACCAGCCAUGCCGCGUGAAGGAUGAAGGUCCUCUGGAUUGUAAACUUCUUUUAUCUGGGACGAAAACGGGAUUUUUAUCUCAAUUGACGGUACCAGAGGAAUAAGCACCGGCUAACUCCGUGCCAGCAGCCGCGGUAAUACGGAGGGUGCGAGCGUUAUCCGGAGUUACUGGGUUUAAAGGGUGCGUAGGUGGGCUUAUAAGUCAGUGGUGAAAGCUCCGAGCUUAACUUGGAAACUGCCGUUGAUACUAUAGGUCUUGAAUUAUCUGGAGGUAAGCGGAAUAUGUCAUGUAGCGGUGAAAUGCUUAGAGAUGACAUAGAACACCAAUGGCGAAGGCAGCUUACUACAUAUAAAUUGACGCUGAGGCACGAAAGCGUGGGGAUCAAACA